UUGAUGCUAGCAGGUAUAGUAGUAUGCAGGUAUGCUAGUAUGACGUUUUGAGUACUGCAGUACUGCCACAGAUGUAUAAAAAAGUACAAAAUCAAAUUUUUCUAACUUUCCUUCAGUUACCACUGGGAUUUGACCUGGUGACCUUUCUGCUGUUAGGCAGGAGUACUAACCGCUGCUCCACUGUUUGUCCCAAAAACCCUGUUAUAAAUUUAUAAACCUUUCAAAAAAAGUAUUGUACAAGUCUAUACUUGAUACUUUGAGACAACAAAAUCAGAUUUAUUGGCAGAUUUAUCAGCCGUUUUUAUUUUGUUUUUACACUGCUGUAAAGUUUUUACAACAAUGUCACAUCUAUUUUACUUCUUUAACUGCUUAUUUGGAUUUUACACUCCAAACUGAUACAGUGAGUCGAAUUCAUCCCAACACGUGUUGUCCGUGACCCAUCGACCACAAAGAGCUGAAGUAAAAUGUGGCCGAUCGUCAAACUGUACUUUGGUGAAAACGCCGUUGUGUCGGUGACAAAAGGUCAACGUACAGUUUCGGUCCGUUCACAAAGGCGGCAUUAUCAGGCCAGCUGUGAGGUUUUGCGUGCUUCAGCAGAGACGCGUCGAGCCGUGGGCCGAGCUGCACAGCUGACGCGGCUCUUUGCCUUUUCACUCUGCUGUUUCUGGAAGAGGCCCCAGUCACGGAGCCAUUCUCCAACGGGCGCCAUAAAUGACCGGGGUGAACGCAACAUUAGGCACUGAUUCCCCCCCAAAAAAACAGCACAGACUCUGGAGCCGAGCCAAAAUGCCAGGAACGAAAGGUAAUAAGUCGGACAAGAAGUCAACUACCAAGCAACCUCAGAGUCCUAAAGAACAGCCGAAGAAAGCUGAUCAGAAAGGAGAUGAUAACAAGAAGCAAGGAGGACAGCCGAAGGGAGAGAAGCAGUAACUUCCAGGCGUUUGUGAAGAUGGCUCUGGAGACGCUGCUGGGGUCCUGUCGUCGAAAACAUGGGGGUCCUCAGGGCAGACAGUGCUGAGCACACGCCCCCCCGACCCCCCCCCACCUCAUCCAUCAACAUAUGUGGCUCAACCUCUGUCACCCCUAAUCCUCCGCAGCCCCGGCCACUCUGGUUUAUCGGAGGGUUAAUCAACCCGUUCAUUCUUCCCUUUAAUUGUUCUGAUUAGAAUAAAGGAUGGUUUCUUACAGC
Long non-coding RNA from Cynoglossus semilaevis (tongue sole), 1189 nucleotides. RefSeq lists it as uncharacterized. The record is from RefSeq and is a predicted model, not a curated record. The transcript is spliced from 4 exons. Lineage: Eukaryota; Metazoa; Chordata; Actinopteri; Pleuronectiformes; Cynoglossidae.